UACAGAGGUGGCGAGCGUUAUUCGGAAUUAUUGGGCGUAAAGGGCGCGUAGGCGGCCCCGUAAGUCAACGGUGAAAUCCCUCGGCUCAACCGAGGACGUGCCGUUGAUACUGCAGGGCUCGAGGCCGGGAGAGGGUAGUGGAAUUCCCAGUGUAGCGGUGAAAUGCGUAGAUAUUGGGAGGAACACCGGUGGCGAAGGCGGCUACCUGGACCGGUUCUGACGCUGAGGCGCGAAAGCGUGGGGAGCAAACAGG
This 253-nucleotide ribosomal RNA is filed under the name uncultured bacterium. RNAcentral describes it as "partial 16S ribosomal RNA". It matches the Rfam family "Bacterial small subunit ribosomal RNA", at positions 524 to 776 of the family's 1533-position model. The record is from RNAcentral.